Molecule: ribosomal RNA, 1616 nt
Filed under: Streptomyces sp. ScaeMP-e83
Lineage: Bacteria; Bacillati; Actinomycetota; Actinomycetes; Kitasatosporales; Streptomycetaceae
Description: bacterial LSU rRNA
Rfam family: Bacterial large subunit ribosomal RNA
Source: RNAcentral
AAUGGGGAAACCCGGCAGUCGUCAUGGGCUGUCACCCGCUGCUGAACACAUAGGCAGUGUGGAGGGAACGAGGGGAAGUGAAACAUCUCAGUACCCUCAGGAAGAGAAAACAACCGUGAUUCCGGGAGUAGUGGCGAGCGAAACUGGAUGAGGCCAAACCGUAUGCGUGUGAUACCCGGCAGGGGUUGCGCAUACGGGGUUGUGGGAUCUCUUUUUCAUAGUCUGCCGGCUGUGAGACGAGUCAGAAACCGUUGAUGUAGGCGAAGGACAUGCGAAAGGUCCGGCGUAGAGGGUAAGACCCCCGUAGCUGAAACAUCAACGGCUCGUUUGAGAGACACCCAAGUAGCACGGGGCCCGAGAAAUCCCGUGUGAAUCUGGCGGGACCACCCGCUAAGCCUAAAUAUUCCCUGGUGACCGAUAGCGGAUAGUACCGUGAGGGAAUGGUGAAAAGUACCGCGGGAGCGGAGUGAAAUAGUACCUGAAACCGUGUGCCUACAAGCCGUGGGAGCGUCGCUGGCAGCACUUGUGCUGUCAGUCGUGACUGCGUGCCUUUUGAAGAAUGAGCCUGCGAGUUAGCGGUGUGUAGCGAGGUUAACCCGUGUGGGGAAGCCGUAGCGAAAGCGAGUCCGAAUAGGGCGUUUGAGUUGCACGCUCUAGACCCGAAGCGGAGUGAUCUAGCCAUGGGCAGGUUGAAGCGGAGGUAAGACUUCGUGGAGGACCGAACCCACCAGGGUUGAAAACCUGGGGGAUGACCUGUGGUUAGGGGUGAAAGGCCAAUCAAACUCCGUGAUAGCUGGUUCUCCCCGAAAUGCAUUUAGGUGCAGCGUCGUGUGUUUCUUGCCGGAGGUAGAGCACUGGAUAGGCGAUGGGCCCUACCGGGUUACUGACCUUAGCCAAACUCCGAAUGCCGGUAAGUGAGAGCGCGGCAGUGAGACUGUGGGGGAUAAGCUCCAUGGUCGAGAGGGAAACAGCCCAGAGCAUCGACUAAGGCCCCUAAGCGUACGCUAAGUGGGAAAGGAUGUGGAGUCGCAGAGACAACCAGGAGGUUGGCUUAGAAGCAGCCACCCUUGAAAGAGUGCGUAAUAGCUCACUGGUCAAGUGAUUCCGCGCCGACAAUGUAGCGGGGCUCAAGCGUACCGCCGAAGUCGUGUCAUUCACACAUUGAGGGCCAACGCCUGUGUGGAUGGGUAGGGGAGCGUCGUGUGCCGGGUGAAGCAGCCGCGGAAGCGAGUUGUGGACGGUUCACGAGUGAGAAUGCAGGCAUGAGUAGCGAUACACACGUGAGAAACGUGUGCGCCGAUUGACUAAGGGUUCCUGGGUCAAGCUGAUCUGCCCAGGGUAAGUCGGGACCUAAGGCGAGGCCGACAGGCGUAGUCGAUGGACAACCGGUUGAUAUUCCGGUACCCGCUUUGAAACGCCCAGUACUGAAUCAGGCGAUGCUAAGUCCGUGAAGCCGGCCCGAUCUCUUCGGAGUUGAGGGUAGUGGUGGAGCCGAUGAACCAGACUUGUAGUAGGUAAGCGAUGGGGUGACGCAGGAAGGUAGUCCAGCCCGGGCGGUGGUUGUCCCGGGGUAAGGGUGUAGCCCGUGUGGUAGGUAAAUCCGUCACACAUGCAGG